This 468-nucleotide ribosomal RNA is filed under the name uncultured bacterium. RNAcentral describes it as "partial 16S ribosomal RNA". It matches the Rfam family "Bacterial small subunit ribosomal RNA", at positions 28 to 507 of the family's 1533-position model. The record is from RNAcentral.
GACGAACGCUGGCGGCGUGCUUAACACAUGCAAGUCGAACGGAAAGGCCCUGCUUUUGUGGGGUGCUCGAGUGGCGAACGGGUGAGUAACACGUGAGUAACCUUCCCUUUACUUUGGGAUAACUUCAGGAAACUGGGGCUAAUACCGGAUAGGCGCUCCUGCUGCAUGGUGGGGGUUGGAAAGUUUCGGCGGUUGGGGAUGGACUCCCGGCUUAUCGGCUUGUUGGUGGGGUAGUGGCUUACCAUGGCUUUGACGGGUGGCCGGCCGGGGGGGGGGACCGGCAAAAUUGGGACGGAGAUACGGCCAAGCUUCCUACGGGAGGCAGCAGGGGGGAAUAUUGCAAAAUGGGCGGAAGCCUGAUGCAGCACGGCCGGUGGCGGGAUGACGGCCUUCGGGUGGUAAACGGCUUUCGCAGGUGACGAAGCGUGAGUGACGGUAAUGGGUAAAGAAGCACCGGCUAACUACGUG